UACGGCCAAAACACAUUGAAACACUGGUUCUCUUACACUUACCGAAGUUAAGCAACGUCGAGCCUGGUCAGUACCUAGAUGGGUGACCGCUUGGGAAUACCAGGUGCUGUCAG
Molecule: non-coding RNA, 113 nt
Organism: Acanthosepion pharaonis
Lineage: Eukaryota; Metazoa; Mollusca; Cephalopoda; Sepiida; Sepiidae
Source: the annotation of a GenBank genome assembly